AUGACUAUCUCCCUUUAAUGCACUACAAAAAUUAGUUAAAUAAAUCAUUUUAGUUCUUCAUUUCUACUACUAAACAAGAUAUUUUCAUGUGUGCACAGUUUUGGAAUAUAAUGAAAAAAUCAUUAUACAAUUUUAUGGUUAAUUUCGUUAGAAUAUUUAUAUAGAUGAAAGGAAGCAAAGCCAAAAGAAUCAGAGAAAAAGAUGUGAAAAUUAAAGUAUAUAUACAAUAAUAAUUAAUGUAAAAAAAAUGUUUCCAAUACCUUGUGCAAAGAAAUAUCCUCACCCACUGCUGAGAACUUCACUUGGCUAUCAAUUACAGAUAUAUAAAGCCUGUUACCUUAAAAAAAAUUAGGCCAGCCAGCUGAAGCAUACUUAUAAACCAACAUUGGAGAUAGUACUCCAUUUAUAAACAAAAUUACAACUUUACAAGCUCAAAACCAAGUCAACUCAGCAAAACCAUUACCGAUUACAUCCAUCCAACUCAGCUCCUCCACUCCCAUCAAUGCAUCCAACAUUCCCUUCAUAUUUACAAAAGGUAAGUGGUUCUAUAUAUCCCACUCAAGAAUGCAUAAGUUUCUUCAAUCUCAAGUAUCUAGAGUUUUCUUCUAUGUUUAUAGAAAUUUCAGAAGAAUCUCCCUAUAAUUCUUCAAGUACAUGACAUAGAUAUAUGAGUGUUUAUGUGCUAUGCCAAAACAACACAUAGUAUGUACCCAGAGACCAUGAGGAGCAGCUACUAAGAAACCCAUUUUUACAUCGGAAAAAAACUUCAUGUACUAACCAAUGAGUAGUUGUUAAAAGCCAAUGAAUAAUUUUAUAAGAAAUCAACAAUAAUGUUGAAAAAAAAACCAAACAAAAAUAAUAAAGCCAAUGAAUAGAUUAAGGCUCUUUAAGGUCUAAUAAACUAAUCAAACUAAGUUGUGGGUAAAGGCGAAUAUGUUUGUUUGGUCAAUAAUAAGCUCAACAAAUCACUAAUAAUCACCUAAUCACUUUUCCUUAUGCUAUGCAAUGUAAUGGCCUGGGUAAUGGCUGCAAGGCAGGCAAUAACUAGCUAGCCAGUUAUGAUAGUGGAUUAACUUAACCUACUGGAAAUCUGAAGACCAAAACGAAGAAGCUUUGACGAGAACUAGAAUAGGAACGUUCAUACCCAAAACUAAUAUAUAUGAUUAAGAAACUUGAUUAAAUGUAUAAUUUUGUUUGCCGCAAUUUAAGAGAACUUUCAAAAGAUGCUAAGGUACACCAAAUCCCACUAUUCCAUACUCGUAAACACAAAAAACCAUGGCAAAAAUUAAUUACUAUAUCAAAUAAAAUAGGUCGUAGGACAUUGAGAUUAGGAAAACAUGAUUUGUAUACUGUAAAAUAACUAUAUCUGCAUAGUCAACUAUAUUUCUGUUAGAACUCUAAAGUUUUCCAUUAAAUUUUUUUUCCCUCUUAAGUAAACCACUUAACUGAAAUGCUUAAGCCAAUAUUGACAAUCAUAGACAUACAAGUAUUAUUAAGCUCGUUCAAGUGAAAUGAGCAUUAUUUUACAUAUCCUUUAGGUUUUUAAGUCAUUUAGAAGUCAUUCAUGUUAAAAAAUUUCUUCAUAUACUUUCAAUAUAAUUAGUACCUGCACAAUUAAUUAAUUAAAUAAAUCUGUUUCAGCUGGCACAGGAACUUAAUUGAUCAGAGCUAGUAGUCAUAGCUAGGACUUGAACGGGGCACCUUUCAAAGUUCAAGAGGAGCAUCUGAACAGAAUGAAAGCAUAUAACUUAUCAGACAAUAUAACAAGCACUUGGUGAGUAUACAAGAUAAACUAAAACAAGUUAUCUAGAAAAUGAAACUAAAACCCAAGCUCCGCUAUUCAUUGUAGAAGCUUUAAACAUAAAAUUAAAGUAAUUCUAAUUGCAAAACAUUAGAAUGGAUGUUGAAAUUAAAGCUAAAUUCAAUAGUAAUUCAAAUGAAUCCAUUUGAACUUUGUUAAUUCCGCAGAACAAAAUUAAUUUGAGUGAGCAAACUCACCAAUGGAACAAGAACACUGGGGCUUCAACUUGUAGGAAUAAAAAAAGGAAAAAUAUUGCUGGCGGGACAAAAAUUGACAAUGACGGCUAAAAUACGAAUUAUAAAAAAAAACCAAAAUCUAUAAUUACAAGCUAAGAGAAGAAACUCAUAAUCACAAGCUUACCUCAAAAGAUGAAGGGAGAAUACGAUGAAGAAGAAGAUGGCCGGUGUUUUACGCCGUUCGCCGGCAACCAGUUAGGUUUACGAUGGUGGCUAGUCCAGCGAAUAGUUUUGUAACUGGAAAUAAAUUUAAAAUUCUAAAAUAGUAGGAUACCGAACGGCUCUUUACCGUCACGUGGUUAGUAACAUAUGCGACAGCAGUGUGGCUGUCACAUAAAGGGUAACAAAAGCAACUCGG
RNAcentral lists this long non-coding RNA (2395 nucleotides) under Citrus maxima (pomelo). RNAcentral describes it as "long non-coding RNA (CMAX_LNC000098)". The record is from RNAcentral. Lineage: Eukaryota; Viridiplantae; Streptophyta; Magnoliopsida; Sapindales; Rutaceae.